AGUCUGCAACUCGACUGCGUGAAGUCGGAAUCGCUAGUAAUCGCGGAUCAGCAUGCCGCGGUGAAUACGUUCCCGGGCCUUGUACACACCGCCCGUCACACCAUGAGAGUCUGUAACACCCAAAGCCGGUGGGAUAACCUUUAUAGGAGUCAGCCGUCUAAGGUAGGACAGAUGAUUAGGGUGAAGUCGUAACAAGGUACC
Molecule: ribosomal RNA, 201 nt
Filed under: uncultured bacterium
Lineage: Bacteria
Description: partial 16S ribosomal RNA
Rfam family: Bacterial small subunit ribosomal RNA
Source: RNAcentral